UACGAAGGGUGCAAGCGUUACUCGGAAUUACUGGGCGUAAAGCGUGCGUAGGUGGUUUGUUAAGUCUGAUGUGAAAGCCCUGGGCUCAACCUGGGAAUGGCAUUGGAAACUGGCUUACUAGAGUGCGGUAGAGGGUAGUGGAAUUCCCGGUGUAGCAGUGAAAUGCGUAGAUAUCGGGAGGAACAUCUGUGGCGAAGGCGACUACCUGGACCAGCACUGACACUGAGGCACGAAAGCGUGGGGAGCAAACAGG
RNAcentral lists this ribosomal RNA (253 nucleotides) under Lysobacter antibioticus. RNAcentral's name for it is "partial 16S ribosomal RNA". It matches the Rfam family "Bacterial small subunit ribosomal RNA", at positions 524 to 776 of the family's 1533-position model. The record is from RNAcentral. Lineage: Bacteria; Pseudomonadati; Pseudomonadota; Gammaproteobacteria; Lysobacterales; Lysobacteraceae. RNAcentral also lists the same sequence under 1 other name.